This 425-nucleotide ribosomal RNA is filed under the name uncultured bacterium. RNAcentral describes it as "partial 16S ribosomal RNA". It matches the Rfam family "Bacterial small subunit ribosomal RNA", at positions 354 to 796 of the family's 1533-position model. The record is from RNAcentral.
GUGGGGAAUCUUGCGCAAUGGGCGAAAGCCUGACGCAGCCAUGCCGCGUGAAUGAUGAAGGUCUUAGGAUUGUAAAAUUCUUUCACCGGGGACGAUAAUGACGGUACCCGGAGAAGAAGCCCCGGCUAACUUCGUGCCAGCAGCCGCGGUAAUACGAAGGGGGCUAGCGUUGCUCGGAAUUACUGGGCGUAAAGGGCGCGUAGGCGGACAGUUUAGUCAGAGGUGAAAGCCCAGGGCUCAACCUUGGAAUUGCCUUUGAUACUGGCUGUCUUGAGUACGGGAGAGGUGAGUGGAAAUCCGAGUGUAGAGGUGAAAUUCGUAGAUAUUCGGAAGAACACCAGUGGCGAAGGCGACUCACUGGCCCGUUACUGACGCUGAGGCGCGAAAGCGUGGGGAGCAAACAGGAUUAGAAACCCCGGUAGUCC